This 311-nucleotide ribosomal RNA is filed under the name Adelophryne nordestina. RNAcentral describes it as "Adelophryne sp. n. DJS-2020 partial large subunit ribosomal RNA". Lineage: Eukaryota; Metazoa; Chordata; Amphibia; Anura; Eleutherodactylidae. The record is from RNAcentral.
UUUCUAAUUAAAGACCUGUAUGAAUGACCCCACGAGGGCCGUACUGUCUCCUCUCUCCAAUCAGUGAAACUAAUCUCCUCGUCCAAAAGCGAGAAUCACACUAUUAGACGAAAAGACCCUGUGGAGCUAAAACAAUCUAGCAAUUGUCUAACAAUUAUUUCUUACACUUUGGACAAGAUGACUUCUAGUUUUUGGUUGGGGCGACCAUGGAGAAAAAUUAAUCCUCCAAGAUGAAUAAGAACCUUCUUUAACUAUGAGCGACAGCUUUUAGUAUUAGCAUACUGACAUCAAUUGACCCUUCUUGAUCAACG